ACAGCCAUAUCAUAUUAAAACACUGGUUCUCAUACAAUCACUGAAGUUAAGCAACAUUGAGUUUGGUUAGUACCUAGAUGAGUGACCACUUGGGAAUACCAGUAGCUGUAAG
This is a non-coding RNA of Acanthosepion pharaonis, 112 nucleotides long. Lineage: Eukaryota; Metazoa; Mollusca; Cephalopoda; Sepiida; Sepiidae. The record is from the annotation of a GenBank genome assembly.